Sceloporus undulatus (fence lizard) is the source of this 554-nucleotide long non-coding RNA. RefSeq lists it as uncharacterized. Lineage: Eukaryota; Metazoa; Chordata; Lepidosauria; Squamata; Phrynosomatidae. The transcript is spliced from 3 exons. The record is from RefSeq and is a predicted model, not a curated record.
UUCAAAGUGUGUAAUAGAAGUUUCUAACAGGAAACACAUGGUCUAACAAAGAUGUUUAACUACAACCCAAGGAAUCUAGCUAUUGAAGAAUCAUUCCCACAACAUGGAGCAAGAAGUAGUAUGCUUAAAGGUGAGAAAAAUAAGACACGUGGACAAAUUCUGCCCUUUUCUGCUGGCUGACCAUAUGUCAAGUUGAGAGGCUGAUGCAAAAAUACUAUGACAGCACAGCUACAGCAGUGCAGAAGGAACAGAAGACUGUAGGACUCCCUUCCAAGAAAUGUUACGGUGAUGACCUCAUUGCUAUCCUUCCAUAGGCAGGUUAAACCUGUUGUUAUUAUUUUGAAAGGCCUUUGAGGACUAAUUGUUCAUGUGAUAAGGGUCUUUAAUAAUGUGCUGUAUUGGGUAUCUAUAUCUUAAUGAUUAUGAUUUUAUGGAUACAUGUACAUAUCCAUGUACAGAUGUCAAAGUUGCUUUUUAUAUUAUUGACAGUUUAAUUAUAUUUUAACAUUUGUAUGAUUUUAUAUUGGCUUUUAGCUUUUAACAAUAAAAUUCUA